UGUCCGUUGGAGAAAUCCCCGAACCAAAUCGAACGAGAACAGUCGGGUGGAAGCCGAAGAUCGGGAAGACUUCCACCGGCUGAAAGACAUCUCAAUGCCGAAGCAGAGGGAGCUCGUCACUGAGCAGGCACUAUACGACGCCGGCCUCAGCCCGGUCCCUCGCUUAGGUGGGUUUUUCAUUUUUCUUCCCCUUUUUCAUUUUUGUUUUUCCUUUAUGGUGCUAACCAUUUAUCGUCGUUCACAGAUAUGCCGCC
RNAcentral lists this long non-coding RNA (254 nucleotides) under Elaeis guineensis (African oil palm). Its description in RNAcentral is "long non-coding RNA (EGUI_LNC010148)". Lineage: Eukaryota; Viridiplantae; Streptophyta; Magnoliopsida; Arecales; Arecaceae. The record is from RNAcentral.